UACGUAGGUGGCAAGCGUUGUCCGGAUUUAUUGGGUUUAAAGGGUGCGUAGGCGGCCCUGUAAGUCAGUGGUGAAAUAUCUCAGCUUAACUGAGAGGGUGCCAUUGAUACUGCGGGGCUUGAGUACAGAUGAGGUAGGCGGAAUUGACGGUGUAGCGGUGAAAUGCAUAGAUAUCGUCAAGAACACCGAUAGCGAAGGCAGCUUACCAAGCUGUAACUGACACUGAGGCACGAAAGUGUGGGGAUCAAACAGG
This 253-nucleotide ribosomal RNA is filed under the name uncultured bacterium. Its description in RNAcentral is "partial 16S ribosomal RNA". It matches the Rfam family "Bacterial small subunit ribosomal RNA", at positions 524 to 776 of the family's 1533-position model. The record is from RNAcentral.